RNAcentral lists this long non-coding RNA (994 nucleotides) under Vigna radiata. Its description in RNAcentral is "long non-coding RNA (VRAD_LNC015470)". The record is from RNAcentral. Lineage: Eukaryota; Viridiplantae; Streptophyta; Magnoliopsida; Fabales; Fabaceae.
GCGUUAACAGAUAAUGGUAGAAACAGAAGAGUCGAAGCAGAUUUGGUUUUCGGCUUGAUGGNAGGAAAAAAAAUCUACUUCUGUUUUAUGUCCAGCUUNUUUUACGUUUUGCUUUCUGUUUCACAUGAGAAUUGAUAUGAAAGGAAGAAUUUGAUCCUAGUUUGGGUGUACACUCUGAAAUCUUUCUUCUUAUGACAUUUUUCGUAGAGAGUUUUGUUUGCAAGUAAAGGAAUAUUGAAACCUUGAUGUUGGGAGUGUGUUUUCUGUUGUUAUUUAAAUCUGAUGAAAUUUGCAGGCCCUGAAACUACAUCUUGGAUGUAUUUCGAUUAACAGAUGAAAUCCCAAAGAAAGCAAACAAGUAUGUAAAUUGAUCAAGCNUCGUCAUUCAUAUGUUCACAACAUCAUUCAUUCAUACCCAACAUCAUUCAUAUNUGUACAUAUAGCAGAGGAGCAUGNAUUCAUGUAACAAGACGAAGAGCUCAGACGAGGAAACUAACCUUUGCAGCUUUAAAAGAACUCUUCCUCUUGGUUCUAGUUCCCUAUGCUUUCCUCUAUUGAUCUUUGAAUGGCUGAAAAUGUUCUUGCAGUUGGAAGGCUAGUUUGAAGGCAAAUGAUUCACCCUUUCUCUUGAGGUCGUGAGGUGCUNGAGGAGGAUCAUCCUUCCGAGUGUUCUCUUCCUCUCAUGAUAUUAGCCUCUGUUGUCUCCUUGUNUUCUCUGUUUAGUGAAAUGGAGUUGAGAGUUNUCCUUGGGAAGUCGAUAAUGGAGUUUGGAUAAGAAUCCCUGGUACCCAGUAUNUAUUCUGCUAGUUAAGGUCUUUUUUAUUUACUGUNAUGAAGCCUCAUUCAAAAACCAAACCCAAGCCCCUNCGUCCUGGGAAUUCAGGCAUAUCUUCUGACUUGGGAUUUUCUCUUUGUUUUUUUUCUACGUUAGUGUUUAAAUUUGAUCAGAUGGUAAAAGGCAUUGGGAUAUCUUUACUCCUUUGGUGUAUGGCAC